RNAcentral lists this long non-coding RNA (783 nucleotides) under Gossypium barbadense (sea-island cotton). RNAcentral describes it as "long non-coding RNA (GBAR_LNC023152)". Lineage: Eukaryota; Viridiplantae; Streptophyta; Magnoliopsida; Malvales; Malvaceae. The record is from RNAcentral.
UUUGAAUCGCAGCUCAUAUGGAGGUCCUCCAAAUUGCUCAAGCCAUCUAAUUCUGAGGAGAAUCAAAAAUUGAAAAGUAAAUACUUUAUUAAUAUAUGUAGACGUCAUUGAAUAAGGAGAAAGAGGAUGAUAUUCAACAGUUUUGUAUAAGAAAUAUUAUUUUACAAUAAUUAAAAAUAUAAUAUUAAAAAAAUAACUAAAAAUUAAAUGUCUAAAAUCACAUUCAACAUAUGUGCCGUUAGAAACCAGUAUUUAUGUAAAUUAAUAUUAAGAAUUAAGAUACGUAAAAAAAAUAGUAACUUACUGAUUUGAGAAUGAGAAUCAAUUAAAUUAACUCCGUCCAAGGAAAGAGUCUUCAAUGAUGAGAAUAAAUCCAAUGAUUGUAGUUGAAGAUUGCAACCUGAGCCUAUCAAAUAGUAUACUUAUAUUUACUUUAUUUCUUUGGAAUAUAUCAAAUUAAUCAAACUAACAAGUAAUUAGUACAUUUAAAUUAAAUUUGGAAUUAGCCACAAUUUUAUUUUAGUAGUACCAAUUGAAUCGCAGCUCAUAUCGAGGUCCUCCAAAUUGCUCAAGCCAUCUAAUUAUGAGGAGAAUCAAAAAUUGAAAAGUAAAUACUUUAUUAAUAUAUGUAGACGUCAUUGAAUAAGGAGAAAGAGGAUGAUAAUUUUACCUUUAAUAUCUAUUGUUCCUUCCAAAUUGGAGCCUCCUAAAGACAAAGUCUUUAGAUUUGAGAGUGUUCCGAGAGAUGACAAUAUGGUAUUGUUGAAGAGAUUGCCAUACAAA